GCUUACGCCAUACCACCCUGAACACGCCCGAUCUCGUCCGUCUCGGAAGCUAAGCCGGGUCGGGCCUGGUUAGUACUUGUAUGGGAGACCGCCUGGGAAUACCAGGUGCUGUAAGCU
RNAcentral lists this ribosomal RNA (117 nucleotides) under Larimichthys crocea (large yellow croaker). The record is from RNAcentral. Lineage: Eukaryota; Metazoa; Chordata; Actinopteri; Sciaenidae.